Cyprinus carpio carpio is the source of this 875-nucleotide long non-coding RNA. NCBI's taxonomy places the organism in Eukaryota, Metazoa, Chordata, Actinopteri, Cypriniformes, Cyprinidae. The record is from Ensembl.
UGCCCAAUGAGGAACGGGUGUUUACUGUCUUGCACAUGUUAAUUCAGGAGCUUGAGGGAAGCAACUCCAUGACAGUGAUGUCAAGGGAACAGCUAAUGUUCCUUCUGGAGAACCACUUUAGAGUUGCCGACAUAGCCCGUAUUUUUGGUGUAAGCACAAGAACCAUCCACAGGAGAAUGGUUAAAUAUGGCCUGUCCGUGCGACAGACUUAUUCUGACAUUACAGAUGAACAACUUGGGUGAGUGAUCUAUGACUUCCCUCUCCAUUGUCCAAAUGCUGGUGUAUGGACUGUGACUGGACAUCUCAAUUCUCGUGGAAUCCGAGUCCAACAGUUCAGAGUGCGGCAGACUCUAAAGGCUGUUGAUCCGUUUGGAAAUUUUCUUCGCGGACUUCAGCUUAAUGUUGUUCCAAGGGUUCCAUACGCUGUUCCAGGUCCUCUCUCCCUGUGGCACAUAGAUGGUAACCAUAAACUGAUACGCUGGAGAAUUGUUAUAUAGAGGCUGUGUUUGGAUUUUCUGUCGAGAUUUUAAUAAACGUUGAUAUGGUUGCUUUCCUUCCUGGAAAAAACAACAAGGGAAGCAGGUGCAGGAGCUGACAAAAAGACGCCGAAUCAAGUGGGUUGCCGCAAUCAGGAGAGAAAAAUUUUACUUUUCAAAACAUUCCUGCAUCAGCGAGAGUGUGUUCGCUGCAUUUUCAGUCUUGUUUUUAUGCUAACACUGUCAAACAAACUUGUAAAUGUAAAUUAUGUAUUUCAAUGAAAAAAAAAUGUAAACGUAAAUUAUUGAUUGUAAAUUAUGUAUUCAUUAAUUUCUAAUCAACAUAACCACAUGAAUUACAAAAAUAAAUCUGCCCACCACAAGCAAAAUAAAACUGGG